Molecule: ribosomal RNA, 143 nt
Filed under: Actinomycetota bacterium
Lineage: Bacteria; Bacillati; Actinomycetota
Description: Actinobacteria bacterium partial 16S ribosomal RNA
Rfam family: Bacterial small subunit ribosomal RNA
Source: RNAcentral
ACGUUGGAGAGUUUGAUCCUGGCUCAGGAUGAACGCUGGCGGCGUGCCUAAUGCAUGCAAGUCGAGCGACGCAUACCGGAGGGGUAACCCACUGGUAUGACGGAGCGGCGAACGGGUGAGUAACACGUGAGUAACCUGCCCCA